CUACAUGGGCCAUUGCAGUCAUUGCUGUUGGAGGUGGAAUACUUUUUGCUGUUAUUAUAGCAGUUCUCGUUCUUGUUAUUUGCUGCUGUUGUUGUGCUGCUGCUGCUGCAAAGAGAAACGAAGAGCACGAAAUGACGGAAGGUACAAAACUCUAAAGUCUAUCAGUAUCGACUGUCUAGAAUUUUUAACUAAUUAAUUCUACAACUAAUAUUACUUAUGUAUCCGACGUAAAUAAGUCUUAUUAUUCUGCUGUUAGUGUCCUUCUACAUACUAUACUGUAGCUUCCCUUUGUGUCUAUGUUUCUUUCUAUAUAUAUGUUCCUUAGUUGCUUCUUGUUUUAAAGAAAAAGUUAUAAUACUU
Amphimedon queenslandica is the source of this 360-nucleotide long non-coding RNA. RefSeq lists it as uncharacterized. The transcript has 2 exons. Lineage: Eukaryota; Metazoa; Porifera; Demospongiae; Haplosclerida; Niphatidae. The record is from RefSeq and is a predicted model, not a curated record.